RNAcentral lists this ribosomal RNA (468 nucleotides) under uncultured bacterium. RNAcentral describes it as "partial 16S ribosomal RNA". It matches the Rfam family "Bacterial small subunit ribosomal RNA", at positions 28 to 507 of the family's 1533-position model. The record is from RNAcentral.
GACGAACGCUGGCGGCGUGCUUAACACAUGCAAGUCGAACGGAAAGGCCCUGCUUUUGUGGGGUGCUCGAGUGGCGAACGGGUGAGUGAAACGUGAGUAACCUGCCCUUGACUUUGGGAUAACUUCAGUAAACUGGGGCGAAUACCGGACAUGAGCUCCUGCUGCAUAGUGGGGGUUGGAAAGUUGCGGAGUUUGGGGAUGGACGCGCGGCUUAUCAGCUUGUUGGUGGGGUAGUGGCUUACCAAGGCUUUGACGGGUUGCCGGCCUGAGAGGGUGACCGGCCCCAUUGGGACUGAGAUACGGCCCAGACUGCUACGGGAGGCAGAAGUGGGGAUUAGUGCACAAUGGGCGGAAGCCUGAUGCAGCAACUCCGCGUGCGGGAUGACGGCCUUCGGGUUGUAACCCGCUUGCGCCUGUGACGAAGCGUGAGUGACGGUAAUGGGUAAAGAAGCACCGGCUAACUACGUG